RNAcentral lists this ribosomal RNA (490 nucleotides) under uncultured bacterium. RNAcentral's name for it is "partial 16S ribosomal RNA". It matches the Rfam family "Bacterial small subunit ribosomal RNA", at positions 28 to 507 of the family's 1533-position model. The record is from RNAcentral.
GAUGAACGCUAGCUACAGGCUUAACACGUGCAAGUCGCGGGGCAGCAUGGGGGUUGCUUGCAAUCCCCGAUGGCGACCGGCGCACGGGUGAGUAACGCGUAUCCAACCUGCCCUUCACCACGGGAUAACCCGGCGAAAGUCGGACUAAUACCGUAUGUUGUCCAUUGACGGCAUCCGAUUUGGACGAAAGGCUUGGCGGUGAGGGAUGGGGAUGCGUCCGAUUAGCCAGACGGCGGGGUAACGGCCCACCGUGGCUACGAUCGGUAGGGGUUCUGAGAGGAAGGUCCCCCACACUGGAACUGAGACACGGUCCAGACUCCUACGGGAGGAAGCAGUGAGGAAUAUUGGGCAAUGGGCGUAAGCCUGAACCAGCCAAGUAGCGUGCAGGAUGACGGCCCUAUGGGUUGUAAACUGCUUUUAUGCGGGGAUAAAGUGGCCCACGUGUGGGCUUUUGCAGGUACCGCAUGAAUAAGGACCGGCUAAUUCCGUG